Molecule: long non-coding RNA, 421 nt
Organism: Panthera uncia (snow leopard)
Lineage: Eukaryota; Metazoa; Chordata; Mammalia; Carnivora; Felidae
Exons: 4
Source: RefSeq, a predicted model, not a curated record
CUUAUGAUGAUGUGAGAAAAUAAGUUGCCUCCAUGAUGAAAUGAAGUGACGUGAUGUAGGCAUUGUGAUGUAGAGUUAGGAAACUACUGACCUUCUGAUGAUUCAUCAAAGAAGGAUUGCCUGCUUUCCGGCUGAAGGAUCACUUGCUUUCCGGCAGAAGGAUCACCUGCUUGUGGUUGACUUGAUCACAGACUACCUACACAGAAUCCAACAGCAUGCAGGAGCAUACAUCUGGGUAGAUGUCCUCCUCAGGAAGAGGCCAAGAUAGCAGGAUACAAAGAUGUACUACAUAAAUGUUGGUUGACUUUGAGAUUGCAAUGGUUCUUCCACUUAAAGCAAGCAAAGUCAGCAUGGUGAGAUGAGAAAAUGGAUGGACUGCAGACAGGGAAACUUAUCAUUGGAUCCAUUACCUGUAUCCCUA